UACCCGACUUCCGGAUACCAAAUG
RNAcentral lists this microRNA (24 nucleotides) under Caenorhabditis briggsae. RNAcentral's name for it is "Cbr-Mir-358-v1_5p* (star (passenger))". The record is from RNAcentral. Lineage: Eukaryota; Metazoa; Nematoda; Chromadorea; Rhabditida; Rhabditidae.